CACACGGUAAACGAUGAAUGCUAGGUGUAGGGGGUAUCGACCCCUUCUGUGCCGGAGUAAACACAAUAAGCAUUCCGCCUGGGGAGUACGGCCGCAAGGUUGAAACUCAAAGGAAUUGACGGGGGCCCGCACAAGCAGCGGAGCAUGUGGUUUAAUUCGAAGCAACGCGAAGAACCUUACCAGGUCUUGACAUCCAGUAAAAACUGUAGAGAUACAGUGUGCCUUCGGGCGUACUGAGACAGGUGG
Molecule: ribosomal RNA, 246 nt
Filed under: uncultured Bacillota bacterium
Lineage: Bacteria; Bacillati; Bacillota
Description: uncultured Firmicutes bacterium partial 16S ribosomal RNA
Rfam family: Bacterial small subunit ribosomal RNA
Source: RNAcentral